AUAUCUUAGAAACAGUAGCCAAUCAGUUGUUUUAAUUGUCAUAUUUGAAUUUAGCACAUAAUGUGCUAUUUAUUAUGUAUUUUGAUCUCUGAAGCGGACGACUUCUCAAAAAUUAUAGACCAGUGUUAUGUAAGUUGUGACAGACCAUCUUGUCCCCACUAGACGUGGGCAUCCACCACAGGAGGCAGAUUUUUCCAGCUCUCUUCUCUUGCACUUGCCUAUAGCUUAAAGUGUGCAAGGUGUCAAGUUAUAUUUCACUAGCUUAAUAGAAGACCUAUGUAAGGGUUCUGUUCUACACAAGAAUAGCUUCUAGUGAAAUUCAGCUGUACAGUUCUCCAGUAUAUGGCAGCAGCGGACUGGUAAUGUAGUCAUUGAGGAAUCUGGACAGAAAACGUUCUCUCCCCACCAUCCUGUUGUAAUUCCAGAUCACUUGUCUACAGGGAAGUUAAAUGAGAUUCCUGCAGUAAAGAAAGUACAGCACUAGAAAAUCUUUUUGGGUGUCCUUAUUGCAAGCCUGUCUGUCUGCGAUAGAAGAACAUCACAAAAUAUCCAAAAGACCCUGAGAAUUAGCAACUGUGUUUUUGUGAGCAUUAUCAAAUGUGUCUGAUCACUCUUUUACAAGUAGAAGAUGCAUACUGUUGAGUGCACAAAUUAAAAUUUUCAAAUCAUUGUA
This is a long non-coding RNA of Trachemys scripta elegans, 673 nucleotides long. RefSeq lists it as uncharacterized. The transcript has 3 exons. The record is from RefSeq and is a predicted model, not a curated record. Lineage: Eukaryota; Metazoa; Chordata; Testudines; Emydidae.